UAGCUCAGUGGUAGGGUGCCUGCCUAAUAAGUAUGAGGCCCUGGGUUCCAUCCCCAG
This 57-nucleotide transfer RNA is filed under the name Heterocephalus glaber (naked mole-rat). It matches the Rfam family "tRNA", at positions 8 to 63 of the family's 71-position model. From Rfam's summary of the family: Transfer RNA (tRNA) molecules are approximately 80 nucleotides in length. Their secondary structure includes four short double-helical elements and three loops (D, anti-codon, and T loops). Lineage: Eukaryota; Metazoa; Chordata; Mammalia; Rodentia; Bathyergidae. The record is from Rfam by way of RNAcentral.